UACGUAGGGUCCGAGCGUUGUCCGGAAUUAUUGGGCGUAAAGGGCUCGUAGGCGGUUUGUCACGUCGGGAGUGAAAACUCAGGGCUCAACCCUGAGCGUGCUUCCGAUACGGGCAGACUAGAGGUAUGCAGGGGAGAACGGAAUUCCUGGUGUAGCGGUGGAAUGCGCAGAUAUCAGGAGGAACACCGGUGGCGAAGGCGGAUCUCUGGGCCUGUUCUGACGCUGAGGCGCGAAAGCUAGGGGAGCGAACAGG
This 253-nucleotide ribosomal RNA is filed under the name uncultured bacterium. Its description in RNAcentral is "partial 16S ribosomal RNA". It matches the Rfam family "Bacterial small subunit ribosomal RNA", at positions 524 to 776 of the family's 1533-position model. The record is from RNAcentral.